CAGGCAGAUUUAGCGAGCCCUGGGAUGACUACUCCUUCACCGUCUACGGCAGGUGAAGCGGCGAUUUCUGCUGUGCCUGCGAAAAGGGGUAGAGGAAGACCGCCUGGUUCUAAAACCAAGAAGAUAAGUGUUUGGUUCAGCAGAUAUUGGACCUAUGCAAUCAAUCGCAGGCGAGCAAGGUAGAAGCUGGGGAGGUGUGCCUCUCUUUUGAUAAGCAUGUAUUGUUAGCUGCUUCUCAGGAUGUAUUGGCCAAAAUAGUGUCAUUCUGCAAAGGUACUGUUCCCGAUCAUUUAUCUGUCUGGUUUCUUCUUUGUCUUGGAAUCUGGUGCUACUUGAUGGUGAAGCAGAUGGUUAUAUCAAUGUGGCAGGGCUCCUUACAGCAGCAACUGAUGUUCAGGUUAUUGUUGGUAGCUUCAACACACACAAGAUUUUAACACUCAAAAGUGCUAUGUCAGUCGGAACUUUAAGUCCGCCUGAUUAAACUAAGAAGAAGAGAGAUGCCCUGGAGACGAAAGAAUGCUUCUCUUGUUAUUGAUAAUACCUAUGUGAUGUGAGAAUGUAGUCUGCAGCUUUGCAAUUCUUUUUUAUAUGGAUUGAGCAACAGUUAUCUUUUUGUACAAAUAUAUGCACAGAAAACAUUUUUCUUCUUUUACUUUCCAGCUUCUUCAUUCCUUAUUUACUAGUUAAUUGUUUUCUCAAUCUGAAAACAGGCAUGUGGUUUAUUGCUAUACAUUGGGAUUUAAAUUUA
Molecule: RNA transcript, 748 nt
Organism: Solanum lycopersicum (tomato)
Lineage: Eukaryota; Viridiplantae; Streptophyta; Magnoliopsida; Solanales; Solanaceae
Source: RefSeq, a predicted model, not a curated record